AACUUUCAACAACGGAUCUCUUGGUUCUGGCAUCGAUGAAGAACGCAGCGAAAUGCGAUAAGUAAUGUGAAUUGCAGAAUUCAGUGAACCAUCGAAUCUUUGAACGCACAUUGCGCCCGCCAGCACUCUGGCGGGCAUGCCUGUCCGAGCGUCAUCU
Molecule: ribosomal RNA, 157 nt
Filed under: Ophiocordyceps sinensis
Lineage: Eukaryota; Fungi; Ascomycota; Sordariomycetes; Hypocreales; Ophiocordycipitaceae
Description: 5.8S ribosomal RNA
Rfam family: 5.8S ribosomal RNA
About the family: 5.8S ribosomal RNA (5.8S rRNA) is a component of the large subunit of the eukaryotic ribosome. It is transcribed by RNA polymerase I as part of the 45S precursor that also contains 18S and 28S rRNA. Functionally, it is thought that 5.8S rRNA may be involved in ribosome translocation.
Source: RNAcentral